Molecule: unclassified non-coding RNA, 211 nt
Filed under: uncultured Agaricaceae
Lineage: Eukaryota; Fungi; Basidiomycota; Agaricomycetes; Agaricales; Agaricaceae
Description: sequence contains ITS2
Source: RNAcentral
UAUUCUCAACCCCUCCAGUUUUUGUGACUGGCCUUUGGGGCUUGGAUGUGGAGGUUUUUUGCAGGCUCUGUAUUGAGUCAGCUCCUCUGAAAUGCAUUAGCGGAACUGUUUGCGAUCCGUCACAGGUGUGAUAAUUAUCUACGCCUAAAGGGUUGCUUUCUUAGUGUUCAGCUUAUAAUCGUCCUAAUUGCUGGACAAAAUAUAAUUGAAC